RNAcentral lists this ribosomal RNA (254 nucleotides) under uncultured bacterium. Its description in RNAcentral is "partial 16S ribosomal RNA". It matches the Rfam family "Bacterial small subunit ribosomal RNA", at positions 524 to 776 of the family's 1533-position model. The record is from RNAcentral.
UACGGGGGGGGGCAAGCGUUGUUCGGAAUUACUGGGCGUAAAGGGCUCGUAGGUGGCCAACUAAGUCGGACGUGAAAUCCCUCAGCUUAACUGGGGAACUGCGUCCGAUACUGGAUGGCUUGAGUUUGGGAGAGGGAUGCGGAAUUCCAGGUGUAGCGGUGAAAUGCGUAGAUAUCUGGAGGAACACCGGUGGCGAAGGCGGCAUCCUGGACCAACACUGACACUGAGGAGCGAAAGCCAGGGGAGCGAACGGG